ACGAUUGUGCCUCUCCUGAAUUGGUCAUCAUUAUAUACCUAGUUUCGGUAUCCCGAUGCCUUUUCUUUUCGGUCGAUUUAUCCUUUAUUAACCCAGUAACCGGUUGUGGAUAAUCGCCCAUGCGAGUAUACUAUCUACGUUCUGACGGUAAUAGAUGAUGUAUCUCAUGCACUCUUUGGUCGAAGCUUUGUUCUUCCCCAGUCGAGUAAAAGUCGUAUCCCCUUUACGGAGUCGAAUAUCCAUCCUAUAAUCGAGUUUGCUUAUUA
RNAcentral lists this long non-coding RNA (266 nucleotides) under Lathyrus oleraceus (garden pea). RNAcentral's name for it is "Pisum sativum (pea) long non-coding RNA (PSAT_LNC033343)". Lineage: Eukaryota; Viridiplantae; Streptophyta; Magnoliopsida; Fabales; Fabaceae. The record is from RNAcentral.